GUCUAUGGCCAUACUACCCUGAACACACCUGACCUUGUCUGAUCUCAAAAGCUAAGCAGGGUGGGGCCUGGUUAGUACUUGGAUGGGAGAAAAUUUAGGUAAUUUGUUCAGGGUUGUCU
Molecule: ribosomal RNA, 119 nt
Filed under: Prolemur simus (greater bamboo lemur)
Lineage: Eukaryota; Metazoa; Chordata; Mammalia; Primates; Lemuridae
Source: RNAcentral